GAUGAACGCUGGCGGCGUGCCUAAUACAUGCAAGCCGAGCGAACAGACGAGGAGCUUGCUCCUCUGACGUUAGCGGCGGACGGGUGAGUAACACGUGGAUAACCUACCUAUAAGACUGGGAUAACUUCGGGAAACCGGAGCUAAUACCGGAUAAUAUAUUGAACCGCGUGGUUCAAUAGUGAAAGACGGUUUUGCUGUCACUUAUAGAUGGAUCCGCGCCGCAUUAGCUAGUUGGUAAGGUAACGGCUUACCAAGGCAACGAUGCGUAGCCGACCUGAGAGGGUGAUCGGCCACACUGGAACUGAGACACGGUCCAGACUCCUACGGGAGGCAGCAGUAGGGAAUCUUCCGCAAUGGGCGAAAGCCUGACGGAGCAACGCCGCGUGAGUGAUGAAGGUCUUCGGAUCGUAAAACUCUGUUAUUAGGGAAGAACAAAUGUGUAAGUAACUAUGCACGUCUUGACGGUACCUAAUCAGAAAGCCACGGCUAACUACGUG
Molecule: ribosomal RNA, 497 nt
Filed under: uncultured bacterium
Lineage: Bacteria
Description: partial 16S ribosomal RNA
Rfam family: Bacterial small subunit ribosomal RNA
Source: RNAcentral